RNAcentral lists this non-coding RNA (25 nucleotides) under Arabidopsis thaliana (thale cress). Lineage: Eukaryota; Viridiplantae; Streptophyta; Magnoliopsida; Brassicales; Brassicaceae. The record is from RNAcentral.
AUACCAAAUUGAAACAACCCGACCU